This 253-nucleotide ribosomal RNA is filed under the name uncultured bacterium. RNAcentral's name for it is "partial 16S ribosomal RNA". It matches the Rfam family "Bacterial small subunit ribosomal RNA", at positions 524 to 776 of the family's 1533-position model. The record is from RNAcentral.
UACGAAGGGGGCUAGCGUUGCUCGGAAUCACUGGGCGUAAAGCGCACGUAGGCGGAUUGUUAAGUCAGGGGUGAAAUCCUGGAGCUCAACUCCAGAACUGCCUUUGAUACUGGCGAUCUCGAGUCCGGGAGAGGUGAGCGGAACUGCGAGUGUAGAGGUGAAAUUCGUAGAUAUUCGCAAGAACACCAGUGGCGAAGGCGGCUCACUGGCCCGGUACUGACGCUGAGGUGCGAAAGCGUGGGGAGCAAACAGG